GUGAAGCGGCAACAGCUCAAAUUUGAAAGCUAGCCUUCGGGUUCGCAUUGUAAUUUGUAGAGGAUGAUUUGGGGAAGCCGCCUGUCUAAGUUCCUUGGAACAGGACGUCAUAGAGGGUGAGAAUCCCGUAUGUGACAGGAAAUGGCACCCUAUGUAAAUCUCCUUCGACGAGUCGAGUUGUUUGGGAAUGCAGCUCUAAAUGGGAGGUAAAUUUCUUCUAAAGCUAAAUAUUGGCGAGAGACCGAUAGCGCACAAGUAGAGUGAUCGAAAGAUGAAAAGCACUUUGGAAAGAGAGUUAAAAAGCACGUGAAAUUGUUGAAAGGGAAGCGCUUGCAAUCAGACUUGUUUAAACUGUUCGGCCGGUCUUCUGACCGGUUUACUCAGUUUGGACAGGCCAGCAUCAGUUUCGGCGGCCGGAUAAAGGCUCUGGGAAUGUGGCCUCCACUUCGGUGGAGGUGUUAUAGCCCAGGGUGUAAUACGGCCAGCCGGGACUGAGGUCCGCGCUUCGGCUAGGAUGCUGGCGUAAUGGUUGUAAGCGACCCGUCUUGAACCACGGACCAAAA
This 563-nucleotide ribosomal RNA is filed under the name Aureobasidium pullulans. Its description in RNAcentral is "LSU rRNA". It matches the Rfam family "Eukaryotic large subunit ribosomal RNA", at positions 93 to 671 of the family's 3401-position model. Lineage: Eukaryota; Fungi; Ascomycota; Dothideomycetes; Dothideales; Saccotheciaceae. The record is from RNAcentral.